This 504-nucleotide ribosomal RNA is filed under the name uncultured bacterium. RNAcentral describes it as "partial 16S ribosomal RNA". It matches the Rfam family "Bacterial small subunit ribosomal RNA", at positions 30 to 523 of the family's 1533-position model. The record is from RNAcentral.
AUUGAACGCUGGCGGCAGGCCUAACACAUGCAAGUCGAACGGUAGCACAGAGAGCUUGCUCUCGGGUGACGAGUGGCGGACGGGUGAGUAAUGUCUGGGAAACUGCCCGAUGGAGGGGGAUAACUACUGGAAACGGUAGCUAAUACCGCAUAACGUCGCAAGACCAAAGUGGGGGACCUUCGGGCCUCACACCAUCGGAUGUGCCCAGAUGGGAUUAGCUAGUAGGUGGGGUAAUGGCUCACCUAGGCGACGAUCCCUAGCUGGUCUGAGAGGAUGACCAGCCACACUGGAACUGAGACACGGUCCAGACUCCUACGGAAGGCAGCAGUGGGGAAUAUUGCACAAUGGGCGCAAGCCUGAUGCAGCCAUGCCGCGUGUAUGAAGAAGGCCUUCGGGUUGUAAAGUACUUGCAGCGGGGAGGAAGGCGGUGAAGUUAAUAGCUUCACCGAUUGACGUUACCCGCAGAAGAAGCACCGGCUAACUCCGUGCCAGCAGCCGCGGUAA